AGUGAACGCUGGCGGUAGGCCUAACACAUGCAAGUCGAACGGCAGCACAGUAAGAGUUUGCUCUUAUGGGUGGCGAGUGGCGGACGGGUGUGGAAUACGUCGGAAUCUACUUUUUCUUGGGGGUUAACGUAGGGAAACUUAUGUAAUUCCCUCUUUUGACCUUCGGGUGAAAGGAGGGGAUGUUCGGAGCUUUGGCGGUUUAAUGAGCCGCUGUCGGAUUAGCUGGUUGGCGGGGGAAAGGCCCACCAAGGCGGCGAUGCGUAGCGGGUCUGAGAGGAUGAUCGGCCACACUGGAACUGAGACACGGUCCAGACUCCUACGGGAGGCAGCAGUGGGGAAUAUUGGACAAUGGGGGCAAGCCUGAGCCAGCCAGACCGCGUGAGUGAAGGAGGCCUUCGGGUUGUAAAGCCCUUUUGUUGGGAAAGAAAAGCAGCAGGUUAAGACCCCGCUGUUCUGACGGUACCCAAAGAAUAAGCACCGGCUAACUUCGUG
RNAcentral lists this ribosomal RNA (492 nucleotides) under uncultured bacterium. RNAcentral's name for it is "partial 16S ribosomal RNA". It matches the Rfam family "Bacterial small subunit ribosomal RNA", at positions 29 to 507 of the family's 1533-position model. The record is from RNAcentral.